UUAUACAUGCAAGUCGAGCGGACAGAAGGGAGCUUGCUCCCGGAUGUUAGCGGCGGACGGGUGAGUAACACGUGGGUAACCUGCCUGUAAGACUGGGAUAACUCCGGGAAACCGGAGCUAAUACCGGAUAGUUCCUUGAACCGCAUGGUUCAAGGAUGAAAGACGGUUUCGGCUGUCACUUGCAGAUGGACCCGCGGCGCAUUAGCUAGUUGGUGGGGUAAUGGCUCACCAAGGCGACGAUGCGUAGCCGACCUGAGAGGGUGAUCGGCCACACUGGGACUGAGACACGGCCCAGACUCCUACGGGAGGCAGCAGUAGGGAAUCUUCCGCAAUGGACGAAAGUCUGACGGAGCAACGCCGCGUGAGUGAUGAAGGUUUUCGGAUCGUAAAGCUCUGUUGUUAGGGAAGAACAAGUGCGAGAGUAACUGCUCGCACCUUGACGGUACCUAACCAGAAAGCCACGGCUAACUACGUGCCAGCAGCCGCGGUAAUACGUAGGUGGCAAGCGUUGUCCGGAAUUAUUGGGCGUAAAGGGCUCGCAGGCGGUUUCUUAAGUCUGAUGUGAAAGCCCCCGGCUCAACCGGGGAGGGUCAUUGGAAACUGGGAAACUUGAGUGCAGAAGAGGAGAGUGGAAUUCCACGUGUAGCGGUGAAAUGCGUAGAGAUGUGGAGGAACACCAGUGGCGAAGGCGACUCUCUGGUCUGUAACUGACGCUGAGGAGCGAAAGCGUGGGGAGCGAACAGGAUUAGAUACCCUGGUAGUCCACGCCGUAAACGAUGAGUGCUAAUUGUUAGGGGGUUUCCGCCCCUUAUUGCUGCAGCUAACGCAUUAAGCACUCCGCCUGGGGAGUACGGUCGCAAGACUGAAACUCAAAGGAAUUGACGGGGGCCCGCACAAGCGGUGGAACAUGUGGUUUAAUUCGAAGCA
RNAcentral lists this ribosomal RNA (927 nucleotides) under Bacillus pumilus. RNAcentral describes it as "bacterial SSU rRNA". It matches the Rfam family "Bacterial small subunit ribosomal RNA", at positions 49 to 958 of the family's 1533-position model. Lineage: Bacteria; Bacillati; Bacillota; Bacilli; Caryophanales; Bacillaceae. The record is from RNAcentral.